GGCCGUGCUCACAGUACGAAACGUUUCUUGGGGCUGCAAAUCCUCUGAGCUCCACAAGGUGGUGAUCUCACUUCUUCCCAGGCAAGUCUCUAUGGAAGACAGGAAGUGAUGUCACAUACAGACAGGAAGUUCUGGGUGAGAGGUGAGUCGGCAGGAAGUAGAGACAUUGUUGGAACUGGCAGCAGAGGAGAGUGGAAACAUCGGGGAUGAUAAUAUUGUUGUUAAAAAAGAGGAAGAUGAGGAGUAUGGAGUGAUGAAGCAGCUUUCUGAAGGACAUCAUGAUGGAGCAAUCAAGUAACAGAAACCCACCAGAGAGAUGUCCCCGUCCUCUGUAUUCCCGGGAUUCCACACAGGAAGGUCACACCAUCCCCCACCAUCAUCAGAGUGGAAACCUUGAGGAUUAUAAUAGUGUUAUUAAAGAAGAGUACAAGGAAGAGAGCGAGGAAUAUGGUGUAAUGAAGGAGCUUUCAGGAAACAAGGAUAUGAUGGAGCCGCCUAAUACCAGAAACCCACCAGAGAGAUGUCCCCGUCCUCUGUAUUCCCGGGAUUC
This is a long non-coding RNA of Rana temporaria (common frog), 550 nucleotides long. RefSeq lists it as uncharacterized. The transcript has 3 exons. Lineage: Eukaryota; Metazoa; Chordata; Amphibia; Anura; Ranidae. The record is from RefSeq and is a predicted model, not a curated record.